Molecule: ribosomal RNA, 387 nt
Filed under: Neohelix albolabris
Lineage: Eukaryota; Metazoa; Mollusca; Gastropoda; Stylommatophora; Polygyridae
Description: partial 28S ribosomal RNA
Rfam family: Bacterial large subunit ribosomal RNA
Source: RNAcentral
GUCGCCUGUUUAUCAAAAACAUAGUCGUUAGUUUUUAUUAAUGAUAGCGUCUGCUCAAUGAGUUGGCUUAAAUAGCCGCAGUACUUUGACUGUGCAAAGGUAGCAUAAUCAAUUGGUCUUUAAUUGGGGUCUAGUAUGAACGAAUGAAUGGGGGGUCGCUGUCUUGUGGGGAUUAUUAAAAAUUAUUGAGGAAGUGCAAAGACUUCCAAAGCUAAAUUAGACGAGAAGACCCUAGAAAUUUAUCAAUUUAUUUUGUUGGGGCGACAGGGUAACACUUAACUUACCCAUUAUAUGUGAACUAUGUUAAGAGAACAGCGAAAUUACUCUAGGGAUAACAGCAUAAUUUUGGGAAAGAUUGUGACCUCGAUGUUGGAUUAGGAACGGGAA